RNAcentral lists this ribosomal RNA (253 nucleotides) under uncultured bacterium. Its description in RNAcentral is "partial 16S ribosomal RNA". It matches the Rfam family "Bacterial small subunit ribosomal RNA", at positions 524 to 776 of the family's 1533-position model. The record is from RNAcentral.
UACAGAGGUGGCAAGCGUUGUUCGGAAUUACUGGGCGUAAAGGGCGCGUAGGCGGCCGCCUAAGUCAGACGUGAAAUCCCUCGGCUUAACCGGGGAACUGCGUCUGAUACUGGAUGGCUUGAGUUCGGGAGAGGGAUGCGGAAUUCCAGGUGUAGCGGUGAAAUGCGUAGAUAUCUGGAGGAACACCGGUGGCGAAGGCGGCAUCCUGGACCGACACUGACACUGAGGAGCGAAAGCCAGGGGAGCAAACGGG